AUUGAACGCUGGCGGCAUGCCUUACACAUGCAAGUCGAACGGCAGCGGGCCUUCGGGUGCCGGCGAGUGGCGAACGGGUGAGUAAUGCAUCGGAACGUGCCAUUGAGUGGGGGAUAACGUAGCGAAAGUUACGCUAAUACCGCAUAUUCUGUGAGCAGGAAAGCAGGGGACCGCAAGGCCUUGCGCUCUUUGAGCGGCCGAUGUCAGAUUAGCUAGUUGGUGAGGUAAAGGCUUACCAAGGCGACGAUCUGUAGCGGGUCUGAGAGGAUGAUCCGCCACACUGGAACUGAGACACGGUCCAGACUCCUACGGGAGGCAGCAGUGGGGAAUUUUGGACAAUGGGCGCAAGCCUGAUCCAGCCAUGCCGCGUGAGUGAAGAAGGCCUCGGUUGUAAAGGUACUCUUUCGGUCCGGG
This 414-nucleotide ribosomal RNA is filed under the name uncultured bacterium. Its description in RNAcentral is "bacterial SSU rRNA". It matches the Rfam family "Bacterial small subunit ribosomal RNA", at positions 30 to 445 of the family's 1533-position model. The record is from RNAcentral.